GACCGAGACACUUUUAGCAUACUUCCAAGACCAAAUUCAUAAUCCUAGGAAGCAAGUAUAUGAAGAUAAUUUCAUACAAAGAUAUUAUCAAAGCAACAAAAGAGUUCUCUUCUGAAAACUUGGUUGGCUCAGGAUCCUUUGAAGAUGUUUAUAAGGGAACCUUGGAGUUUGAGGUUGAUCUAGGAGCUAUUAAGGUUUUCAAUCUCAACAAGCACGGAGGACCUACAAGCUUUACUGCAGAAUGUGAAGCCUUGAAUAACAUCCGACAUCGUAAUCUUGUUAAAGUCAUCAUAUUAUGUUCCACCUUGGAUCCAAAAGGACAAGACUUUAAAGCAAUCAUCUUUCAAUAUAUGCCUAAUGGAAGCCUAGAAACAUAGCUGCAUCAAAAAGUUUAUGGUCAUAAUCAGAAACAAGUCUCAAGUUUGGGUGAUAGGAUUAGUAUAGCCCUGGAUAUAGCGUAUGCCUUAGAUUAUCUUCACAACCAGCGUGCAUCUCCACUAAUACACUGUGACCUUAAGCCAAGCAAUGUGCUCUUGGAUCUACAAAUGACUGCAUGUCAGUGACUUGAGCUUGGCAAGAUUCAUGUGCACUACAACUGCAGAGUUCGUUAGUUCAAUGAGUUUGGCUGAUUUAAAAGGAUCCAUCGGAUAUAUUGCACUUGGUGAGAAUUCACUACCUAUUUUUAUUCUCAUUUAUAUAAGGUUCACCCACUUGAUUUACUUAUCCAAUAUUACAUUCAAGUGAUGUUCCCUUAUAUUGAAUGAACACUUAUGUUUUCAAAUACAUAUGCAGAGUAUGGAAUGGGUGGACCUAUCUCAACCAAGGGAGAUACCUACAGCUAUGGAGUGGUCUUACUAGAGAUGUUAACCGGGAUGCGUCCAAGAGAUGAAAAAUAAUAAUAAAAAAAGCUGGACAAUUGGGAAGGACCCAAUGUCAAAUGUUAUUAAGAGGUGGUGAGGCUUCGGACCUGCGCUGGCUAGCCCACCAUCUGUGGUGCUAGCCAGAAGAACCGCAAGCGUUUCUCUGAAAAAUUGAAGGAUGGUUUAAGCCUUCAUGGACUCGUGGAGUUAGCAUUUCCACACAAAGUAGCUGAGAAUUUGGAUCCACUUAUGCUACAAAGUGACCUAAAUGGCGGAAAAUAUCCGACUGAAAUAAUGCAGAGUUGUGUCAUAUCAUUGGUUAAGCUGGGCCUGCUAUGUUCAUCCAUAUCACCAAAAGACCGGUUAGGAAUGUUACAUGUUUAUGCUGAAAUCGUCACAAUAAGACAGUCGUUUAUUGAGUUACAAUGAGAAAAUGGAGCUGACUGCCAUUGUAAAUAGUACCAACAAUAGCUGAAAAUCUUUUUGUUGAGAUGAUCAUAACAGGACAUGCAAACUUGAGCUUUACGGGGAAGAAAUGCAAAAGUGAAAAUAGAUAGAAGUGAAUGCACGAAAAAUUCUGCCUCCAACUUCUGUUCCCAACUUAAUGUUGGUAUAUUAUGCAGCUGCACUUUGGAAGUUUGUAGAACUACUUCUAAUAUGAUUUGAGAAUUGUAGUGAGUUCCAUUUGGUAAAAAAAACUUACUCCCUUUGUUGUAAGAUUUACUAGGCUUGUCUAAAUUUAUAUGAAUGAUAACGAAAGUAGAAUCAUCUUCGUGGGCAUUUUCACAAACACACCGCCCGCACGCAUGUCAAACACCGACCGUCGCCACCGCCACGCGCCUACGCUGCUGCCGAUGCCGUUGCAAACACAAGCAUAGAGAGGAGCAACGCGCGAAACGAACCUGGCCGGAGUCUGCCGGCCGUCGGCGCGGCGCAGGCGAUCUCCGGCGCACCGGCCCCGUCGCCGCCNNN
RNAcentral lists this long non-coding RNA (1832 nucleotides) under Oryza brachyantha (malo sina). RNAcentral's name for it is "long non-coding RNA (OBRA_LNC000396)". Lineage: Eukaryota; Viridiplantae; Streptophyta; Magnoliopsida; Poales; Poaceae. The record is from RNAcentral.